Molecule: long non-coding RNA, 1013 nt
Organism: Brassica rapa (field mustard)
Lineage: Eukaryota; Viridiplantae; Streptophyta; Magnoliopsida; Brassicales; Brassicaceae
Source: RefSeq, a predicted model, not a curated record
CACAGGGCCCAUUUCAUUUUUUUUUUGUCUUUUUUCAGCUAGGUUUAAGAUCUUCAUUUUAAAAAAAAAUUGUAAGAAAAAAAUGGACCUAAAUUCUUUUGUAGCACAUCACCCAAUUUAUGUUUGAGACGGACCUGCCUAAUAGAUAUUCUUUUACAACUAUACCUACAGCUCCUUAGUUCAUACAAAAAUCUUUAAAGGAUUUCUUCAUUGGAUUCUAAUUUUCCGAUCACCGGACUCCUCCGAAAUGUCACUAUCAAAUAACUUAUCCUCCAUGUUUCAGUCUAUAUAACUUACGUGGUCCGAGUAUAUUUUUUAGUUAUUAUGUCCUUGUCUAACUAUGUCAUUGUAUUUUCCAUCGUUUUCUAAAUUGUUUAUUGUUUACAUGAUUAUAGAUUUUUCUGUCUUCUUUUUUGUUCAAUGGAUAUGUUCAUAUGCAAACCAAUGUUUUAAACUUAUUCAAAACCGAUCUAGACGACUCAGAGAACAUUGUCUGCCUCAGUGCCUCCUCGGCUUAUAUAUAUAUAUAUAUAUAUAUAUAUAUAUAUAUAUAUAUAUAUAUAUAUCUACCCAAUUAUUUAUACGCGAGAACUUGGCUUUGUAGAUGUACAAAAUAUAUUUAUAUUUGAACUUUGAACAUUUCAAAACUAUCUUUUGUUAUCUUGGUGUCGUUCAAAUAAUUCUGCUCACAUUGGUUUCAAGAAUAAAUUUAUAUUACAUGUAUCCUCCGUUUGAGCGGGGUUUUAACAAUAAACAAACAAAAAAAUGUGAAGUCUUGAAUCUUAAAUACCCUCAAAAACAAGUACAUAGAAUAUAAAUUUGAAACAGACGAAAUAUGUAGAAUACGAAUGGCAGCCAAACCAAAUACGUAGAAUACAAACAUCAAACAAACUGGCGGAAAGCACAGGUACCCUAGUGAUUGAAAAGGAAGACAUUACACAAACCACACACUUAAUAAACACAAAAGCUCACCUCAUCGAACAACUUUGUCCAUUCAUUAUUCUCAACUAUAU